RNAcentral lists this long non-coding RNA (2447 nucleotides) under Nicotiana benthamiana. RNAcentral's name for it is "long non-coding RNA (NBEN_LNC042656)". The record is from RNAcentral. Lineage: Eukaryota; Viridiplantae; Streptophyta; Magnoliopsida; Solanales; Solanaceae.
CUAAAUAUGUAAAAGUAAUUUUGCCCAAGCUAUUAUUAGUGACAAAAUUAUUUUCGUCGCUAUUCGGUUGUUGUGUCUUUUUAAAGUUAUAGUUUAUCUAGGGUACAAAUUUUGCUCGUUCAUAGCUAUUUCUGGGUUUUCUGAACAUGCCAUCAAACGGGUUUGACUGGUUUCUUCAAAAUGAAUUUUUUGGUGAGUUCAAGGUUACUUUUUUCUACUAUCUUUUGAUUUUAUAUACAUUUUUUAGUUCUACCACUUAUACAGAAUUUGAUGGCUUCUUUGAAUACUGCUUUAACCCUCUAAUUCUGGUAUUCUCUUCGUUAAUCUUUUGAUUCGGAGGAUUACAUAGUGGAUCCCAGCUAUUUUAGGAUUGAGUUAUAGUUGUUGUCUGAUUGUGUUGAAAUACUUUUUGAUUCUAGUAAUUUUGUUGAAUUUGACAACAACUUAAUGUUGCUUUAAUCUUCUGGAUUUGGUAUUCUGUUUGUUAAUUUAGAUCUUCGUUCAAUUCUAAGUUAGAUUUAGGCUAUGUGAUAUAUAUAGCUGAUAAAUUUAUACUUCCUCAUAUUCUUUUGAUUGGGUUCUACAUGUGCUGUAAGUUUUCUUUAAUUUUAUGUCUUUCAGUGAAUGCGGUAUUUGACAAGAGGGGUUGCUCUGAUGGUAAGCAACACCCAUUUCCAAUCGAGAGGUUAUGAGUUCGAGUCUCCCCAAGAGCAAGGUGGGAAGUUCUUGGAGGUAAGGAUGUCGGGAGUCUAUUUGAAACAGCCUCUCUAUCCCAGGGUAGGAUUAAGGUCUGCGUACAUUCUACCCUCCCCAGACUUCACUAAGUGGAAUUAUACUGGGUUGUUGUUUUUGUUGUGAAUGGAUCGGGUCACACGCCGCAAUAAUAUUAUAUAUAGGAGUAGGUGGUACGCCUACCACGCGAUAUGAUGAAAUAGGAGCAGGUGGUACGCCUACCACGAGAUAUAAUGAAAUGAAAGCGGGUGGUAUGCCUACCACGAGAUAUGAGAAAUGAGAUCGGGUUGCAUGCCUACAACGAGAUGUGAACCGAAAGCGAAAUCUUCCUUUAUUUUCCCAUAUCCGUGUUAGAGUUAAAUUGUUGAUUUCCUUAUUAUUCUCUUGAGGUUCUGUAUUAUUUGCUAUCCCCGGAGAAAAAUCCCCUCCCCAUCUUUAUCUUGUUUAUUUCCAUCUAUCUUUCCUUUGUAUAUAUAUAACUGCACAGGUUUAUGUGGAGUCCGGUCCUAGCCUCGUUACUACCUCCUCGGGUUUAGGCUAGGCACUUACCAGCACAUGGGGUAGGUUGCGUCGAUACUAAACUCUAAACUGUGUGCAGAUCCCGAAGCAACAUUUGGUCAUCAGUAGUAGAUCGAGACGAAGCAUGAUCCCCUCCCCAGCUUCAUUUUAUUUAUCAUGUCUAUCUUUCCGUUGUAUAUAUAUAACUGCCCAGGUUCUUCUGAGGUCUGCUUCUAACCUCGUCACUACCUCGCCGGGGUUAGGCCCAGCACUUACCAACACAUUGGGUCGGUUGUGCUGAUAUUAUACUCUAUUCUCUUUUGCACAGAUCCAAGUACCAGACAGCAGCAGUAGCCCGGAAGCUAGACUUUAGUCCACCGAGAUACCGAGGCAGCCUUGCAGGCGUCCGCAGGCCAAACGUCUUCUCUAUCUUAUAUUAUGUUCUAUUGUCUCAUAUAUUUGACACAAACAAUGUUAUCUUUUCUUCAAACUGUUGUAUGUAGUACUCUUAGAAGUCCGUGAAUAUGGUGACAGCAGAUUCUGGUUAGAGGUAUGUGUUGGUUUUAGGAUAUUUUGAAUUUAUAUUUUAUUUAAGACUUCCGCUAAAUUUUCUAUUCCGGUAUUAUUUAAUUGUUUAUUUUCUGCUAAUUUAAUUGGUUUUAUAAAAAUUUGAGAAUAAAAGAGUCUAAAGAUUUUAAGUUCAUGGCUUACCUAGCUUCUACGAGUAGGCGUAAUUACGACUCUCGAGGGUGGGAAAUCUGGAUCCUGACAGUUCACUAUAAAUUUCUUAAAAUGAAAGGGCAAAAACUAGAAGGGAGAAGCCAUAAUUAUGACUACUUCAUCCUAAUUUUUUUAUCUUACUUUUGAUUUUUUUGGAUUUCACGACAGAUAGGAAGGAAACUGAAGGAGAUACUACGAUGACAGGUUGCACAACCUGCUAAGAGCUACAUGUCUGAUAAUAGCGUUUUAUUUCUUGAUCAAGAAAUAUGUCAUGUUAUGAUGUCAUUGCAGCAGUAUAUUUUUUGUUUUUUCCCUAUUGUAGCCUACUUUAUGUUUCUAAAGAUCAUUGACAGAGACAUCUAUAAAUGGUGCUAGCUAUUGUUACAUAUAUCAAGGCUUGCCUCUAUGAAAAAUGCUUAUGUUUUGUCAUGAUGUAUAUGCAACUUUGUUAUAAGUCCAAUUCGUAACAAACUUAUGAUGAGGUCUUGAACCUCAAG